UACGUAGGGUCCGAGCGUUGUCCGGAUUUAUUGGGCGUAAAGAGCUCGUAGGCGGUUCCGUAAGUCAGAUGUGAAAACUCAGGGCUCAACCCGGAGACGCCAUCUGAUACUGCGGUGACUGGAGUCUGGUAGGGGAACACGGAAUUCCUGGUGUAGCGGUGAAAUGCGUAGAUAUCUGGAGGAAUACCGGUGGCGAAGGCGGCAUCCUGGACCAUUACUGACGCUGAGGCGCGAAAGCUAGGGGAGCAAACGGG
Molecule: ribosomal RNA, 254 nt
Filed under: uncultured bacterium
Lineage: Bacteria
Description: partial 16S ribosomal RNA
Rfam family: Bacterial small subunit ribosomal RNA
Source: RNAcentral